UAGGGAAUUUUUCACAAUGAGCGAAAGCUUGAUGGAGCAAUGCCGCGUGAACGAUGAAGGUCUUUAAGAUUGUAAAGUUCUUUUAUUUGGGAAGAAUGACUUUAGCAGGUAAUGGCUAGAGUUUGACUGUACCAUUUUGAAUAAGUGACGACUAACUAUGUGCCAGCAGUCGCGGUAAUACAUAGGUCGCAAGCGUUAUCCGGAUUUAUUGGGCGUAAAGCAAGCGCAGGCGGAUUGAAAAGUCUGGUGUUAAAGGCAGCUGCUUAACAGUUGUAUGCAUUGGAAACUAUUAAUCUAGAGUGUGGUAGGGAGUUUUGGAAUUUCAUGUGGAGCGGUGAAAUGCGUAGAUAUAUGAAGGAACACCAGUGGCGAAGGCGAAAACUUAGGCCAUUACUGGCGCUUAGGCUUGAAAGUGUGGGGAGCAAAUAGGAUUAGAUACCCUAGUAGUCCACACCGUAAACGAUAGAUACUAGCUGUCGGGGCGAUCCCCUCGGUAGUGAAGUUAACACAUUAAGUAUCUCGCCUGGGUAGUACAUUCGCAAGAAUG
Molecule: ribosomal RNA, 547 nt
Filed under: uncultured bacterium
Lineage: Bacteria
Description: bacterial SSU rRNA
Rfam family: Bacterial small subunit ribosomal RNA
Source: RNAcentral